GCCUAGAUAGCUCAGUUGGUUAGAGUAUGGUGCUGAUGAUGCCAAGAUUGCAGGUUCAAUCCCUGUAUGGGAUA
RNAcentral lists this transfer RNA (74 nucleotides) under Podarcis lilfordi (Lilford's wall lizard). Its description in RNAcentral is "tRNA.Ile". The stretch from base 8 to 66 matches the Rfam family "tRNA", at positions 8 to 63 of the family's 71-position model. From Rfam's summary of the family: Transfer RNA (tRNA) molecules are approximately 80 nucleotides in length. Their secondary structure includes four short double-helical elements and three loops (D, anti-codon, and T loops). The record is from RNAcentral. Lineage: Eukaryota; Metazoa; Chordata; Lepidosauria; Squamata; Lacertidae.